This 392-nucleotide ribosomal RNA is filed under the name uncultured bacterium. RNAcentral's name for it is "bacterial SSU rRNA". It matches the Rfam family "Bacterial small subunit ribosomal RNA", at positions 362 to 771 of the family's 1533-position model. The record is from RNAcentral.
UAUAGGUCAAUGGGGGAAACCCUGAACCAGCAACGCCGCGUGAGGGAAGACGGUUUUCGGAGUGUAAACCUCUGUCCUCUGUGAAGAUAAUGACGGUAGCAGAGGAGGAAGCUCCGGCUAACUACGUGCCAGCAGCCGCGGUAAUACGUAGGUGGCAAGCGUUGUCCGGAAUUACUGGGUGUAAAGGGAGCGUAGGCGGUUAUGCAAGUUGAAUGUGAAAUCUAUCGGCUCAACUGAUAGGCUGCGUUCAAAACUGUAUAUCUUGAGUGAAGUAGAGGCAGGCGGAAUUCCUAGUGUAGCGGUGAAAUGCGUAAAUAUUAGGAGGAACACCAGUGGCGAAGGCGGCCUGCUGGGCUUUAACUGACGCUGAGGCUCGAAAGCGUGGGUAGCAA